Molecule: unclassified non-coding RNA, 1496 nt
Filed under: Bombus terrestris (buff-tailed bumblebee)
Lineage: Eukaryota; Metazoa; Arthropoda; Insecta; Hymenoptera; Apidae
Description: misc RNA ENSBTSG00005024755.1
Source: RNAcentral
GUCCAAUGUAAUAUUUGGUAGGAACAGCGUGAGAUGCAGUGAAACGAGAAAAUAGACAGGACAGAAAACGAAAGAAAUAAAUACAUAUCAGAGUUUCAGUCUGCGAAUGGUCAGACGGGAUUUCGUGAGAAUGAGUAAUCCAAACGUUCAAGGAUAGCUGGCUGCUCGAAGUCACGUAGCUAUCGGGUGACACAGGAUCGAAUUUUCGGAAGACGCGUGGGAGAGUUUAGACGUGACAAGUAAUCCGAAUACGUUUACCAAAAAACAGGAAUAUUGUUUCCAGAGAAUCUGACCGCAGCAUGUCGGCUAAAAUACCUUCUGCUGAAUGCAUUGUGAAUGUCUCGUCUACACUCACAGAGCUGUCCAGCUGGACAAAUUAUAAUAGUCUUCGUGCACUGUACGCUGCCAGUUAUUGGAUCAUGUAUGCAGACUGUUUGCAAACGAUGUCGUUUAUCUACUGCAGUCUAAAGUCUAAUGAGGGUGCCGGCUACUCGUAAUUUUGUAUCAGCCGACCUUUUGCACGACCACAACCGCCCCAGCCCAUAAUUUCGGGUACCCGCAUACCCUUAUAGCCUGUCCAAGGAGACGAGAAAGUGGACAUAAACAAAGUGUAAUACCUGCAGCCACGGCAAUUGCACCUAAUUAGUGUCUCCGGUUAUGCCUUUUUCUUCUCUAUUGUGCGCUUAAGGUCACAUGCACCUUUCGAGAUUAUUAAUGACCACGGUGAGGAUGAUCGGUGGGACAGAGCGUAUCUACGUAUAAUAUGUUGUAUAAAUCAAUAUCUUUCAGGAUAUCUAGAGCUUCCUCGCACGAGUCUUCCUUUUGUAACACAUUGAGCAAAAUUAGUCGGAUCGUGCUAUACUCUUGUAAUAUCGUAUUUAGCACAGAUGAUUAGGAUAUGUCCGAUAGAAUUUAGAAUGCCGCAGGUGUCAGAUAUUUGAUUCAAUUUUGGUGAUAAGGUUUGUUGAUAUUGUACAGAAUGCACAUAAUAUGAAGAAAUGUAUGAAAUGUACAAAGCAUAACACUUUCUAUAAUGCUUGACAGGUAAAAAAAUUCCCUACUGAGCCUGCACUAUUUUAAUUAUAUUCUCAAAAACAUGAAUUUGCAUAAAAAUCUGCAAUUAAUAGUUGUCACUAUAGAAACGAUUUUCCUACGGAGAAAAGCCUAGAAGACGGCUUUGGAUUUAAGAAUUUUGUAAGGAUGUCGAAAACUGGUUUUGACAUUUUAUUACGGAAAGUUGGUCCGAAAAUAGAAAGGAACGCGAGAAUUGUUGCCGAACCGGUGGCAAAAGAAAGAAAAUCAAAACAAAGCCUGCCAGCGUGAAGACGAUUAAAUUGAACUGCAUGUUGUCGUUUCCACGUUCUUCCAACAUCUGUUCAUAGUCCUUGUCCCUUAUUUUCUAUCGCAAUGGAAACUUGUAUUUUACCUGCUGUUAUCUCCCGAUUUUUCUCGAACAACGUGCACAGAUUAACUGCGGAAAUAUGUCUAUUGUCUGA